UCCCUUCUAGUUUGUCAUUUCCCAGUCUCUGGUUAGGUUAGAAGUUUCUCCCCUGUUAAGGGGAACUACGUCGCCCUGAUCCUCAUACCAGAUGAGGUACGUAGGCAGGAGAUCGUACGAGAUCUCUCUGGGCACCUUUUUUUUCUUUUUUGUGUGUGUUUGCUUGACAGCUAGCAGGCUCGAGUACCAGAUUCCCUGUUAGCUUGUUUGUUCAACCCUUUUUUGUUGCUUUUGAC
RNAcentral lists this long non-coding RNA (236 nucleotides) under Lathyrus oleraceus (garden pea). Its description in RNAcentral is "Pisum sativum (pea) long non-coding RNA (PSAT_LNC011782)". The record is from RNAcentral. Lineage: Eukaryota; Viridiplantae; Streptophyta; Magnoliopsida; Fabales; Fabaceae.